Molecule: ribosomal RNA, 520 nt
Filed under: uncultured Glomus
Lineage: Eukaryota; Fungi; Glomeromycota; Glomeromycetes; Glomerales; Glomeraceae
Description: SSU rRNA
Rfam family: Eukaryotic small subunit ribosomal RNA
Source: RNAcentral
AGCAGCCGCGGUAAUUCCAGCUCCAAUAGCGUAUAUUAAAGUUGUUGCAGUUAAAAAGCUCGUAGUUGAAUUUCGGGGUUAGUAAGUUGGUCGUGCCACUGGUAUGUACUGGCUUUACUGAUUCCUCCUUCUUGUAGAACCGUAAUGCCAUUAAGUUGGUGUUGCGGGGAAACUGGACUGUUACUUUGAAAAAAUUAGAGUGUUUAAAGCAAGCUAACGCUUGAAUACAUUAGCAUGGAAUAAUGAAAUAGGACGUUCGAUCCUAUUUCGUUGGUUUCUAGGAUUGACGUAAUGAUUAAUAGGGAUAGUUGGGGGCAUUAGUAUUCAAUUGUCAGAGGUGAAAUUCUUGGAUUUAUUGCAGACUAACUACUGCGAAAGCAUUUGCCAAGGAUGUUUUCAUUAAUCAAGAACGAAAGUUAGGGGAUCGAAGACGAUCAGAUACCGUCGUAGUCUUAACCAUAAACUAUGCCGACUAGGGAUCGGAUGAUGUUAAUUUUUUAAUGACUCAUUCGGCGCCUUA